Molecule: ribosomal RNA, 498 nt
Filed under: uncultured bacterium
Lineage: Bacteria
Description: partial 16S ribosomal RNA
Rfam family: Bacterial small subunit ribosomal RNA
Source: RNAcentral
GACGAACGCUGGCGGCGUGCCUAAUACAUGCAAGUCGAACGAGAGCGACCGGUGCUUGCACUGGUCAAUCUAGUGGCGAACGGGUGAGUAACACGUGGGUAACCUGCCCAUCAGAGGGGGAUAACAUCCGGAAACGGAUGCUAAAACCGCAUAGGUCUUCGAGCCGCAUGGCUUGAAGAGGAAAAGAGGCGCAAGCUUCUGCUGAUGGAUGGACCCGCGGUGCAUUAGCUAGUUGGUGGGGUAACGGCUCACCAAGGCCGUGAUGCAUAGCCGACCUGAGAGGGUGAUCGGCCACAUUGGGACUGAGACACGGCCCAAACUCCUACGGGAGGCAGCAGUAGGGAAUCUUCCGCAAUGGACGCAAGUCUGACGGAGCAACGCCGCGUGAGUGAAGAAGGUUUUCGGAUCGUAAAACUCUGUUGUUAGAGAAGAACAAGUGCUAGAGUAACUGUUAGCGCCUUGACGGUAUCUAACCAGAAAGCCACGGCUAACUACGUG